AUGAAACCGGAGAUGGAACUGGUUCUGAAAGGGUCAAGUCACACAGAGGAGACGACGGAAGGGAACUCCAAUUCCUAUCCUUCUCAUCUUCUUUCUUCUCUCCCAAACCAAUUUCUCUUCCGUUGUCUCUGUAGUUGAACUGUUGCAGGUAGUUGAGCAGCAUUUGGGCCUAAAUGGCAGCCUUCCGAGCUUUCUGGAACAGUCCCAUUGGUCCUAAAACAACUCACUUUUGGGGUCCUGUUGCCAAUUGGGGCUUCGUUGUUGCGGGAUUGGUGGACAUGCAGAAGCCUCCUGAAAUGAUAUCGGGGAAUAUGACUGCAGCAAUGUGUGUUUAUUCAGGGUUAUUCAUGAGAUUCGCAUGGAUGGUGCAGCCACGCAAUUAUCUGCUUCUAGCAUGCCAUGCAUCAAAUGAGACAGUGCAGCUCUAUCAACUUUCACGUUGGGCAAAGGCUCAUGGGUACUUGGAGCAGAAGAAAGAGAAAGCUGAAGAACAAUGACUUGUAGAUGACGCUUUCUUCUCAAGAAACAUGUGGGACCCAUGGCAAAUUGAUUUUCCCAGGUAUCAGACUUGAUGGUGGGUCAUAAGAGAGAUUUCGUAGGAUGUGUAUUAGAAUUCUUGAGCAAGGCAUGUGCUUGUGGAGUAGGUGUAUACUCCCUAUUUUGGAAAGCAGACUUUUGGCUGCAAUCAAAUUUCCACCUUUCAGGAUAUGGUCAAUCCGUCCAUGCGAUUGUCUUACAUAAUUAUUGAAGGUUUUUUCUUGAUCUGUCACUAAUUGUUCAAUUUUCCCUGCAUCGAACUGCCUAUUAGGGACCGAGCUUCUAUGCUGAUGCACAUUCAAGGCCGACUGAAUAAUUAAGCCAAGGGUGCAAUGCCAAUUUAAACCUUUUCUGUUAAUAAAUUGAAUACUCUGUGAUUGUGUUAUAUCAUGUAUGGUUAUACACACUAGCUUCAUACCUGACAAAUGCAAAAAGUAAGAGGAGUUCAUUCGGUCAA
RNA transcript from Nelumbo nucifera (sacred lotus), 994 nucleotides. It is a transcript of the gene named mitochondrial pyruvate carrier 1-like, with no coding region annotated. The record is from RefSeq and is a predicted model, not a curated record. NCBI's taxonomy places the organism in Eukaryota, Viridiplantae, Streptophyta, Magnoliopsida, Proteales, Nelumbonaceae.